Callorhinus ursinus (northern fur seal) is the source of this 73-nucleotide non-coding RNA. Lineage: Eukaryota; Metazoa; Chordata; Mammalia; Carnivora; Otariidae. The record is from the annotation of a RefSeq genome assembly.
GCCUGGCUGGCUCAGUUGGUAGAGCGCAUGACUCUUGAUCUUGGGGUUGUGAGUUCGAGCCCCAUGCUGGGUG